UACAUGGGGUGCAAACGUUGCUCGGAAUUACUGGGCGUAAAGCGCACGUAGGCGGCUCUUUAAGUCGGGGGUGAAAUCCUGGAGCUCAACUCCAGAACUGCCUUCGAUACUGUAGAGCUUGAGUUCGGGAGAGGUGAGUGGAACUGCGAGUAUAGAGGUGAAAUUCGUAGAUAUUCGCAAGAACACCAGUGGCGAAGGCGGCUCACUGGCCCGAUACUGACGCUGAGGUGCGAAAGCGUGGGGAGCAAACAGG
This 253-nucleotide ribosomal RNA is filed under the name uncultured bacterium. Its description in RNAcentral is "partial 16S ribosomal RNA". It matches the Rfam family "Bacterial small subunit ribosomal RNA", at positions 524 to 776 of the family's 1533-position model. The record is from RNAcentral.